Molecule: ribosomal RNA, 252 nt
Filed under: uncultured bacterium
Lineage: Bacteria
Description: partial 16S ribosomal RNA
Rfam family: Bacterial small subunit ribosomal RNA
Source: RNAcentral
ACGUAGGUGACAAGCGUUGUCCGGAUUUAUUGGGCGUAAAGGGAGCGCAGGCGGUCUGUUUAGUCUAAUGUGAAAGCCCACGGCUUAACCGUGGAACGGCAUUGGAAACUGACAGACUUGAAUGUAGAAGAGGAAAAUGGAAUUCCAAGUGUAGCGGUGGAAUGCGUAGAUAUUUGGAGGAACACCAGUGGCGAAGGCGAUUUUCUGGUCUAACAUUGACGCUGAGGCUCGAAAGCGUGGGGAGCGAACAGG